AGAGUUUGAUCCUGGCUCAGAGCGAACGCUGGCGGCAUGCUUAACACAUGCAAGUCGCACGGUCGGGGCAACCCGGCAGUGGCGGACGGGUGAGUAACGCGUAGGUAUCUGUCCAAGGAUGGGGGAUAACGGCGGGAAACUGCUGCUAAUACCGCAUGAUGCCUGAGGGCCAAAGGCGAAAGCCGUCCAUGGAGGAGCCU
RNAcentral lists this ribosomal RNA (200 nucleotides) under uncultured bacterium. RNAcentral's name for it is "partial 16S ribosomal RNA". It matches the Rfam family "Bacterial small subunit ribosomal RNA", at positions 8 to 232 of the family's 1533-position model. The record is from RNAcentral.